This 407-nucleotide long non-coding RNA is filed under the name Mytilus galloprovincialis (Mediterranean mussel). The record is from RNAcentral. Lineage: Eukaryota; Metazoa; Mollusca; Bivalvia; Mytilida; Mytilidae.
AAAAAUAUCUGACUGGUUUCUUUAUGAUAUUGCUAAGAUUCUAAUGGUUAUUAGGAUUUAAAAGAACUAAUUAAGAACAUUUUUCGGAAAGAAAGAAAAUUUUUGGUGGAAGAUCAUAAUCGAGAUUGAAUAAACUGACAGUGUCGAUAUCCAAAACUCGUUUGGUAGACAUAUCCUUGACAAUUUUCAUGUACGCUUCGCAGUAAAAUUUAUAAACAAUUGUUAGUAAUUAAAUUGGCGCCAAUUGCGCUCUUUUUAUUGCAGACUUGCUCCUGUAUUUUUUUUAAAAGGUUAUAGAAAUUAUCAGAAAGAUCUGACUAAAUGCUAUCUUAUUGACAAAUUAAAAAAACUAACUGUUAUCUAGAUGAAAUUUGUGCGUUCAAAAUUAAUGUUUCUAAAUAUACUUU